This 391-nucleotide unclassified non-coding RNA is filed under the name soil metagenome. RNAcentral describes it as "partial contains 5.8S ribosomal RNA, internal transcribed spacer 2, and large subunit ribosomal RNA". The stretch from base 1 to 122 matches the Rfam family "5.8S ribosomal RNA", at positions 35 to 154 of the family's 154-position model. The record is from RNAcentral.
GAUGAAGAACGCAGCGAAAUGCGAUACUUGGUGUGAAUCGCAGAAUCCCGUGAACCAUCGAGUCUUUGAACGCAAGUUGCGCCCGAAGCCAUUAGGCCGAGGGCACGCCUGCCUGGGCGUCACACGUCGUUGCCCCCCCAUCUACUCCUUCGGGAUUGCGGGGGGCGGAUGAUGGCCUCCCGUGCGCCUCGCCGCGCGGUUGGCAUAAAUGCCAAGUCCUCGGCGACGCACGCCACGACAAUCGGUGGUUGCGAAACCUCGGUUGCCCGUCGUGUGCGGUCGUCGCGCAUCGAGGGCUCGAAAAAAUUGCCGGGUUCCGGCUCGGCUUUCAACGCGACCCCAGGUCAGGCGGGGUUACCCGCUGAAUUUAAGCAUAUCAAUAAGCGGAGGA